This 392-nucleotide ribosomal RNA is filed under the name uncultured bacterium. Its description in RNAcentral is "bacterial SSU rRNA". It matches the Rfam family "Bacterial small subunit ribosomal RNA", at positions 355 to 744 of the family's 1533-position model. The record is from RNAcentral.
UGAGGAAUAUUGGUCAAUGGACGAGAGUCUGAACCAGCCAAAUCGCGUGAAGGAAGACCGCCCUACGGGUUGUAAACUUCUUUUGUACAGGAAUAAAAGACAUUACGUGUAAUGUAUUGCAUGUACUGUACGAAUAAGCAUCGGCUAACUCCGUGCCAGCAGCCGCGGUAAUACGGAGGAUGCGAGCGUUAUCCGGAUUUAUUGGGUUUAAAGGGUGCGCAGGCGGGAUUUUAAGUCAGCGGUGAAAUUUUCAGGCUCAACCUGAACACUGCCGUUGAAACUGGGAUUCUUGAGUAUGGAUGAAGUAGGCGGAAUUCGUUGUGUAGCGGUGACAUGCGUAGAUAUAACGAGAAACUCCAAUUGCGUAGGCAGCUUACUAAGCCAUAACUGAC